This 62-nucleotide transfer RNA is filed under the name Nesticus barri. Its description in RNAcentral is "tRNA-Leu". The record is from RNAcentral. Lineage: Eukaryota; Metazoa; Arthropoda; Arachnida; Araneae; Nesticidae.
UUGCAUUAGAAUUAGAAUCUAAUUACACUAAAAUUACCCCCUCUAAUUCAUUAAUAACUAUU